Molecule: long non-coding RNA, 123 nt
Organism: Triplophysa rosa
Lineage: Eukaryota; Metazoa; Chordata; Actinopteri; Cypriniformes; Nemacheilidae
Exons: 3
Source: RefSeq, a predicted model, not a curated record
UCUAAUAAAAUAAAAUAAGACCUGAGGGGCCUCGCCGUGGUAAAAAGAGCAGCCUAACAUGACCUCAGAUGCUCCACGGCAGAAAGAAAGUGAAAGAUCUGGACCAGCCACGAACGUCACCCU